This 77-nucleotide microRNA precursor is filed under the name Ascaris suum (pig roundworm). RNAcentral describes it as "mir-67 microRNA precursor family". Lineage: Eukaryota; Metazoa; Nematoda; Chromadorea; Rhabditida; Ascarididae. The record is from Rfam by way of RNAcentral.
GGGCACUUAGCUCGCUCGGCUGGUUGUUAGAUGUUUCUGAUGUUCAUCACAACCUCCUUGAGUGAGUUGAAAGCCCU